This 603-nucleotide ribosomal RNA is filed under the name uncultured Microvirga sp. Its description in RNAcentral is "bacterial SSU rRNA". It matches the Rfam family "Bacterial small subunit ribosomal RNA", at positions 9 to 658 of the family's 1533-position model. The record is from RNAcentral. Lineage: Bacteria; Pseudomonadati; Pseudomonadota; Alphaproteobacteria; Hyphomicrobiales; Methylobacteriaceae.
GAGUUUGAUCCUGGCUCAGAACGAACGCUGGCGGCAGGCUUAACACAUGCAAGUCGAACGCAUCCUUCGGGAUGAGUGGCAGACGGGUGAGUAACGCGUGGGAACGUGCCCUUCAGUUCGGAAUAACCCAGGGAAACUUGGGCUAAUACCGGAUACGUCCGUAAGGAGAAAGAUUUAUCGCUGAAGGAUCGGCCCGCGUCUGAUUAGCUGGUUGGUGGGGUAAUGGCCCACCAAGGCGACGAUCAGUAGCUGGUCUGAGAGGAUGAUCAGCCACAUUGGGACUGAGACACGGCCCAAACUCCUACGGGAGGCAGCAGUGGGGAAUAUUGGACAAUGGGCGCAAGCCUGAUCCAGCCAUGCCGCGUGAGUGAUGACGGCCUUAGGGUUGUAAAGCUCUUUCGGCGGGGACGAUAAUGACGGUACCCGCAGAAGAAGCCCCGGCUAACUUCGUGCCAGCAGCCGCGGUAAUACGAAAGGGGCUAGCGUUGUUCGGAAUCACUGGGCGUAAAGGGCGCGUAGCGGCUUUGUAAGUCGGGGGGUGAAAGCCUGUGGCUCAACCACAGAUUUGCCUUCGAUACUGCAUGGCUUGAGACCGAGAGUAAG